Molecule: long non-coding RNA, 2250 nt
Organism: Pseudophryne corroboree (corroboree frog)
Lineage: Eukaryota; Metazoa; Chordata; Amphibia; Anura; Myobatrachidae
Exons: 11
Source: RefSeq, a predicted model, not a curated record
ACAGGCAUGGCCGACUUUGAAGCCAGUAGCCCAGACCCCUCGCUGCAGCCGCCAGCAUGCUCAGUUACAGGUACACACAGCCACUUUCAGAUUUGAGGAGUACCCAAGACACUCCCUUGGGGCCCGGCUAGUACCAGGGGCCUGGCCGCGGCAUCCGCCGAUGAUAGAACAGCGCUGCACAUUAAAAGUACAUCUGUGCAGGCCAGGCCCCAGCAGGCUGUCGGCGCACAUGAUCGGACAGCUGCCGCUGGAAGCCUGCACCUGCUCGCCCACAUUAUGCUCCGUCAGUCACAGACAGAGCGGAUUUUAUGAUGAGCGAUAGAGGCGGUCGUCCUGCUGUCACACAUAAUUGAUCACAGGCACUGCCUCACUUGGCCUCCAGGAGCCGACCGCCGCCUCUCCGUCUCCUUUGAGAGUUCUCUGGCAGAAUCAGGGAGGCGCCGCCAGCAGGAUUUUGGACGUGCGGCCCCCUCCCUCAGCAGCCGCUUCAGACUGACUUCUCCAAGUUGCCGCCAGGUCACGCACUGCCUGGACCUCCUCCACAGCACGGCUCUCUUCUCUACAGUGGGCCUGCUAUGUUCCCUAACAGGAGACCCGGCCAGCACAGCUCGUCUCUCUAGCAGGCCUCUCACGGUCAGUGAGUCCCCUUUCAUAAAUUCUCCUCUGGGUCAGUGGCGCACGCAGGGGGGGUUUCCGAGUACCUGGAAACCCCCCCUGAUGAGCCGAGUUAUCUUUUUGAGACAGAGACACAGGAGACACAGCUGAAAAAAAUAAAAAAUAAAAAAAAAGACGCGAUCGCGGGGUGCGGAGCUGCAGCAACUACAGAAAGCUAAAGGCCAGUACUCACGGCCCGAUGCAGCUCUCUGCUUACAGUCAUGAAUGUCCCGGGGCCGGCAGCUCCCUCCGUCCUCACACAUUCGCCCCUCUGCCUCCAGCCCACUGUGUACACUAUAUCACCAGAAGUCCUAGGACAUAGAGGCACAGACCGCACUUCAGCAGCACAAUUUAGAGAACCAGUCCUCCACCAAGGUACCAGUAGCACAGCAAUGGCGCCUGGGAUCACUCUAAAGAAGGAUGGCCAUCGGUGUACACCUCCAUGCCUGUUCCUGCUCCUUCUCAUCAGGGGUGUGAGGGGAACCAUUGAUCUGCAGUCAUACAAGCAAUGCAUGCUGACAGGAGUCGUAGAAGAACGCUCACAGCAGAAGAGCCGGUGACAGGCAGGGGAAAGACAACCUGCCAGUAUCUGUGGAAAACAGCGCUCCUCAGGAGAGAGAGCAGAUCUAGAGAGCUCGUUGGGCAGACUUCAAGUCCCGCCUUAAGCAAAAAAGGGCUGCGAACUGGAAUGCUUUGAGGGCAACAGGGGGAGGACCAGCCCCUGAGACUGUGGAGUAUACAGAUCUAGAGGAGCGAACGAUGGUCUGUGUGACCUAUGAGGAGGUGGCAGGUGUGUCACAAAUGGACACAGACACACCUAAGAUGUUAUGGACACAUGACUUGCCAGCUUAUCUUGGACAAAUCAUGUGACUUCUAGCCUCAGGGAUGAAAGAAAAAUAGAGAAGCAAAUUGAUAAUGAUGUCACAUUUACAAGCUGGUAAAUGACAGAAAGAAGAUGGAAGAUAUGGAGUACAUGCCGGAAAUCCUAUCUCUGAAUGCAAAGUACCCCGGCAGUGCCAAUGAUGCCCAUGCCAUUUGGCAAUCAGGGAUCUGGCAAAGAUUAAGAAUGAUGGAGGCCAAGACGUGGCUAUUUGGAGAUCGUGGAUAUCCUUGCACCCCCUGGCUCAUGACUCCUUAAAGCACACCCAGGCCAGGGUCACAGUCCGAGUUUAACUCCGCGCUUACUGCCACUAGGCAGCUGGUGGAGCGCACCAUUGGGGUCCUGAAGGGCCGAUUCCGUGUGCUCCACCGCACUGGUGACGACCUCAUGUAUUCGCCGGAAAUGCUGAUUUAUGCGUCCAAAUGUGGCCAAGCACAACGCCAAAGGCAACAGGAGGAAGAAGGAGCCUCCCCCUCAGCAAGCGGAGGAAAAUGCAACAUCCUCUUCCUCCUCCUCCCCCUCUCAAACCACCUUCCCCCCUCAACAACCCACCCCACAUCAAACCUCAUCCUCUUCCUUCUCAUCCUCCCCCUCUCACUCUCCCCCCCUCAACCCACCUCCCGCUCUCAACCCCCCUCCCUCUCUCACUCUUCACCCCUCUCAAACCCCCCUCCCUCUCUCUCUCUUUUCCUCCCUCUCAACCACCCUCCCCCUCU